AUCCGGGUGACCAGUCCCAAAUAGGACGAAACGCGCGUUCUGGAU
RNAcentral lists this non-coding RNA (45 nucleotides) under Schistosoma curassoni. Lineage: Eukaryota; Metazoa; Platyhelminthes; Trematoda; Strigeidida; Schistosomatidae. The record is from RNAcentral.